This 355-nucleotide ribosomal RNA is filed under the name uncultured bacterium. RNAcentral describes it as "partial 16S ribosomal RNA". It matches the Rfam family "Bacterial small subunit ribosomal RNA", at positions 338 to 691 of the family's 1533-position model. The record is from RNAcentral.
CCUACGGGGGGCAGCAGUGAGGAAUAUUGGUCAAUGGCCGAGAGGCUGAACCAGCCAAGUCGCGUGAGGGAAGACGGCCCUACGGGUUGUAAACCUCUUUUGUCGGGGAGAAAAGCGAGUCCCGUGUGCCUCAUUGAGAGUACCCGAAGAAAAAGCAUCGGCUCACUCCGUGCCAGCAGCCGCGGUAAUACGGAGGAUGCGAGCGUUAUCCGGAUUUAUUGGGUUUAAAGGGUGCGCAGGCGGAGGUGCAAGACAGCGGUCAAAUUGCGGGGCUAAACCCCGUACUGCCGUUGAAACUGCAGCCCUUGAGUGCGCGAGAAGUAUGCGGAAUGGGUGGGGUAGCGGUGAAAUGCAU